AUGUGUCACCUGAGGAGGCAGCUACAACUUCUGGAGACCAGAGAGAGGGAGAGACAGAGACAGGGAGACAGGGACAGACAGGGACAGAGAAAGACAGAGCGAGAGAGACAGAGACAGAGAAAGAGAGACAGAGACAGAGAAAGAGAGACAGAGACAGAGAAAGACAGAGAGACAGAGAGAGGGAGAGACAGAGAGAGGGAGAGACAGAGAAAGACAGAGACAGAGAAAGAAACAGAAAGAGAGACAGAGAGAGAAGGAGAGACGGACAGAAAGACAGAGAAAGACAGAGAAAGAGAAAGACAGAGAAAGAGAGAAAGACAGACAGAGAGAAAGACAGACAGAGAGAGAGACAGAGAGAGAAAGAGAGAGAAAGAGAGAGACAAAGACAGAGAAAGACAGAGACAGAGAGACAGAGAGGAGAGACAGAGAGAGAGAGAGAGAAAGACAAAAACAGAGAAGGACAGAGAGAGAGAGAAAGACAGAGACAGAAAACCAGAGAGAAAGACAGAGACAGAAAGAGAGAGACAGAAAGAGAGACAGAGAGGGAGACAGAGAGAGAGAAAGACAGAGAAAAACACAGAGAGAGAAGGAGAGACAGAGAGAAAGACAGAAAGACAGAGGGAGACAGAGAGAGAGAAAGACAGGGAGAGAGAGGGACAGGGAGAGAGAGGGACAGGGAGAGAGAGAGGGGGAGACAGAGGGAGGGAUAGGGCCAGACAGAAAGAGAAAGAGAGAGAGACAGGGACAGGGAGAGACACGCAGAGAGAGACAGAGGGAGGGACAGGGCCAGACAAAGAGAAAGAGAGAGAGACAGGGACAGUGAGGGACAGGGACAGGGAGAGAAAAGGAGGAAGACAGAGACAGACAGGGACAGAGAGAGAGAGCAAGCCAGGGAGACAGGGACAGACAAAGAGGAACAGGGAGAGGCAGAGAGAGGGAGAGAGACAGAGAGGGAAAAAGGGUAAGAGGGAGGAAGACAGAGAGACAGGGAGAGAGACAGGGAAAGAAAAUGAGGGAGAGACAGAGAGAGACAGGGAGGGGGAGAGAGAGAGAGAGAGACAGGGAGACAGCAACAGACAGAGGGAGAGAGAGACAGGGACAGGGAGAGAAGGAGAUGGAGAGAGAGAGAGACAGAGAGACAGGGAGAGAGAGACAGGAAGAGAGAGACAGGGAGAGAGAGACAGGGAGAGAGAGACAGGAAGAGAGAGACAGGAAGAGAGAGACAGGAAGAGAGAGGGGGAGGGACAGAGACAGGGAGAGAGAGGGAGAGACAAGGGCAGAGACAGGGAGGGACAGACAGGGACAGGGAGAGAAAGACAGAGGGAGAGACAGGGAGAGAGACAGACAGAGAGACAGGGACAGGGAGGAACAGGGACAGGGACAGGGAGGGACAGACCAAAAGACAGACAAGAGACGGGGCGGGGGGGAGAGACAGACCAAAAGACAGACAAGAGACAGGGAGAGAAAGAGGGAGAGAGAGACAGGGAGACAGGGACAGGGAGAGACACAGGGGGAGAGACAGAGGGGGAGAGAAGGCAAGAGACAGAGAGACAGGGAGAGACAGAGACAGACAGGCAGAGACAGAGGGAGACAGAGACAGACAAAGAAGGAGAGACAGAGACAGGGAGACAGAGACAGACAGAGAAAGAGGGAGAGAGAGGGAGACAAAAAGACAAGACAGAGAGACAGGGAGAAAGACAUAGAGACAGGGAGAGAGAGGGAGAGGCAGAGACAAAGAGGGAGAGAGAGAGACAGGGAGAGGGCAAGACAGAGACAGACAGACAGAGAAAGAGGGAGAGAGAGAAAAAAGACAUGAGACAGAGAGACAGGGAGAAAGACUUAGAGACAGGGAGAGACAGAGAGAGAGAGACAGACAGACAGACAGAGAGAAAGAGGGAGAGAAAGAGAGGGACAGGGAGAGACAGGGACAGGGACAGGGAGAAAGACAGGGAGAGACAAAGAGGGAGAGACAGAGACAGGGAGAAGGUGAGAGACAGACAGAGCGAGAGCCAGGGAGAGCCAGGGAGACAGACAGGGAAAGCCAGGCAGAUAGAGGGGGAGCAAGACAGGGAGAGACUCAGGAUGCCCCACUCCGAGCUCGCGUGGCUCUGCCCGGGGACCGCUCCCGGGCUACGGGACCCCGGCACGCCGACGGCCCCAAGAUUGGCGCUACCGAUUGGGACCCGCACCUAA
Molecule: long non-coding RNA, 2193 nt
Organism: Dromaius novaehollandiae (emu)
Lineage: Eukaryota; Metazoa; Chordata; Aves; Casuariiformes; Dromaiidae
Source: Ensembl